This 73-nucleotide transfer RNA is filed under the name bacterium. Its description in RNAcentral is "tRNA-Asn". It matches the Rfam family "tRNA". From Rfam's summary of the family: Transfer RNA (tRNA) molecules are approximately 80 nucleotides in length. The record is from RNAcentral. RNAcentral also lists the same sequence under 1 other name.
UCCCCGAUAGCUCAAUUGGUAGAGCGCCGGACUGUUAAUCCGUAGGUUCGAGGUUCGAGUCCUCGUCGGGGAG